CAUGAUUUAGAGACAGAAAUAACACGCCAGCAUAUAAGAUCAAUGACAUAAGACUAAUUCCUUCAAUUGACUUUCAGGCGCGGCUCGGAAAAAUGUGCAUUUUCUGAAGAAAUUUUAAUUUUAACAGCAUUAAAUUGACCCUAUGCCAAACUUAGUCGCUAAUGGCUGGUCUGUAGACUGUUUGGUAAACCUAAAUCAAAUUAUAGUACUAGCUUUUUAUAAGGAUGUGUAUGUCAUGUUACGUAUUUCUUGGUUUUUCUAUGUUAUGUGUUUUAUAGAGAAGUAACAUUAUUCUUUUUUUUCUGUAUGCUUUCAGAACCACAGAUCGCUCCAUCCAUUCCAUGGCUGAAGCAUACAUUUUCAUUUAAUCUGAACAGAUAUCCCAGAAAGAUGAAGCUGAGGAAGAGCUGCAGAGUAACCACCAUGGCACUCUUCAUCUUCAGGGACAACUCAAGCCUCCUACAUCAGCGUCGAGACAUCGGGAUAAUCAUUGAUGGUGUGGAAGUCCUGAAUGAGUUGCCUUCUGUGGCAGCUGGAGUGGCAAUGGUCUUUGGACUCUGUUAUGCUCUUAAAAUGGAAUAUCCACGAGGAUUCAGGUUCACCUUUGAGGCUCUUCAAAAGAUUAUGAUGGAGCUUGACUUUAACAAGAUGACCUCUAAGAUUCGCAAACUUAAUUGUGAACUUAACACUGCACAGUAGUGUGUUUGCAUGCAUGUGUGGAUGUGUAUGUGCACAUGCACAUGCAUGUGCAUGUGUGCUUGGUUAUUUU
This is a long non-coding RNA of Astatotilapia calliptera (eastern happy), 769 nucleotides long. The record is from Ensembl. Lineage: Eukaryota; Metazoa; Chordata; Actinopteri; Cichliformes; Cichlidae.